RNAcentral lists this ribosomal RNA (303 nucleotides) under uncultured bacterium. RNAcentral describes it as "partial 16S ribosomal RNA". It matches the Rfam family "Bacterial small subunit ribosomal RNA", at positions 507 to 808 of the family's 1533-position model. The record is from RNAcentral.
AGCAGUAGCCGCGGGAAUACGUAGGGUGCAAGCGUUAAUCGGAAUUACUGGGCGUAAAGCGUGCGCAGGCGGUUCGUUAAGACAGAUGUGAAAUCCCCGGGCUUAACCUGGGAACUGCAUUUGUGACUGGCGGGCUGGAGUAUGGCAGAGGGGGGGUAGAAUUCCACGUGUAGCAGUGAAAUGCGUAGAGAUGUGGAGGAAUACCGAUGGCGAAGGCAGCCCCCUGGGCCAAUACUGACGCUCAUGCACGAAAGCGUGGGGAGCAAACAGGAUUAGAUACCCCGGUAGUCCCUGUCUCUUAUA